GAUGAAGAACGCAGCGAAAUGCGAUAAGUAAUGUGAAUUGCAGAAUUCAGUGAAUCAUCGAAUCUUUGAACGCAUCUUGCGCUCCUUGGUAUUCUGAGGAGCAUGCCUGAUUGAGUGUCAUUAAAUUCUCAACUACACUGACUUUGAAUUGGUGUGGCUUGGAUUUGGGGGGAAAAUUGUUGUGGGCUUUUUGUAUAGUCUGCUCCCCUGAAAUUGAUUAGCGGUACCUUUGUGGAACUGUCUACAGGUGUGAUAAUUAUCUACAUCUUAGACAUCUGCUGGAAUGCUGCUUUCUAAACCUUACUUGUAUUGACAAUCUUGACCUCAAAUCUGGUAGGACUACCCGCUGAACUUAAGCAUAUCAAUAAGCGGAGGA
Molecule: unclassified non-coding RNA, 376 nt
Filed under: soil metagenome
Description: partial contains 5.8S ribosomal RNA, internal transcribed spacer 2, and large subunit ribosomal RNA
Rfam family: 5.8S ribosomal RNA (bases 1-120)
Source: RNAcentral